This 974-nucleotide long non-coding RNA is filed under the name Heterocephalus glaber (naked mole-rat). Its description in RNAcentral is "lncRNA (ENSHGLG00000042928.1)". The record is from RNAcentral. Lineage: Eukaryota; Metazoa; Chordata; Mammalia; Rodentia; Bathyergidae.
UAUGAAUUUAUCCAUGUGUGCAAUAUUUCUAUUAUCUGCAUUAUAUUAUUAGUAAAUAUAUAUUAUAUAUUAUCCAUAUUAUAUCUAUUAUAUUAUUUAUGGUUUAGGCAUUGUCUUGGGUACUGGAGACUCAAUAGUGAACCUAAAAGAUAAAUCCUUUCCCUUGUAGACUUCAGACUACUUGCAAGACAAGAUAAACUAUAUAGGGCAUGAACUGGUAUGUUCAAUGGAGAAAGAUCAGAGAAAGGGGAUGAAUAGUGGAGUGUGGAUGGUGAUUGUAGUCUUUAAAAGGUGGCAAGGAAAGGCCUUCUAAGAAGACAUGUGGAAGAUAGCCAUGCAGCCACCAGGGAAGAGGCUUCCAGAUGAUGCUGAGGCCGUGAGUAGUUCUGGAGAUUAGAAGUGUAAAAUCAGUUUCACUGAGCCAGAAUCAAGGAAGAAUUGACCCCCUAGACACACUUUGCCUCCCUUUAUGCCCCUUGUGAUUACAAGUAUAACUCACCCGAGCAACUCAGAACAUUCUGCUCAACCUCAAGAUCCUUAACAUAAUCACACCUACAAAGUCUCCCUCCACAUUUAAGGAAAAGGAGGAACUGACAGCAUUUGAGACCGGAGAGGCCGAGGCACUGAGUGCUAGGUGGCACAAGGGGCAAGACUAGAAUUCAAGGCCUCUGAUGCCCAAGACUUCCCAACAUUGUCUUCUCCCGCGUUCCCUCCAGGACCACCGCCUCCUUCUGGGCGGGGUCUUGGGCUGCUGUCUGCGCUGAGUGUCCAGCUCUCUCCUUGGGUCGCACUCACGAUCUUCCCGCAGAGACGGCCACACUGCGAUCUUGCAUGCAGCCAGCAGGGGUCAGCAUUGCCCGCACCAAGGGUCGUCCAGCUGCGGCGGGCGAGAGCCUGAGCUCAGCGACGUUUCUCUGGCCACUUCUGGCUGAGUGUGGUGCUGCUUCUCGAUCUUGGCCACACAGUCGUUUCUG